CUCUUCUUGUUAAAAGCACUGUGCUAAAAUUGCAGAAACCAAGGCUCAGCUUUAGUUUCUGCAGUAAUGCUAGUAGAGUAAAUGCAAGAAGAAGAAAAACUGCACUAGAUCAAAAAAGACUAGGGUGGACCUCUUUCUUAAUGUCCAGUGUCCUGUGUCUGAAGAUUGGUGCAACAGUU
Molecule: small nucleolar RNA, 179 nt
Organism: Cinclus cinclus
Lineage: Eukaryota; Metazoa; Chordata; Aves; Passeriformes; Cinclidae
Product: small nucleolar RNA SNORA81
Exons: 1
Source: RefSeq, a predicted model, not a curated record